ACACUAUAUAGCUCAGUUGUUAGAGCAUCACCCUGGAAUGAGUAGAAGGUACUCAGUUCAAACCUAGGUAUGGGCA
Molecule: non-coding RNA, 76 nt
Organism: Blastosporella zonata
Lineage: Eukaryota; Fungi; Basidiomycota; Agaricomycetes; Agaricales; Lyophyllaceae
Source: the annotation of a GenBank genome assembly